This 428-nucleotide ribosomal RNA is filed under the name uncultured prokaryote. Its description in RNAcentral is "bacterial SSU rRNA". It matches the Rfam family "Bacterial small subunit ribosomal RNA", at positions 355 to 774 of the family's 1533-position model. The record is from RNAcentral.
UGAGGAAUCUUGCGCAAUGGGGGCAACCCUGACGCAGCAACGCCGCGUGAGUGAGGAAGGUCUUCGGAUCGUAAAGCGCUGUCAGUUGGGAAGAAACGGCUGAAGGUCAAUACCCUUCGGUCUUGACGGUACCAACAGAGGAAGAACAGGCUAACUCCGUGCCAGCAGCCGCGGUAAUACGGGGGGUGCAAGCGUUGAUCGGAAUUAUUGGGCGUGAAGAGUGUGUAGGCGGCCUGAUAUGGCAGAUGUGAAAGCCCUGGGCUUAACCCAGGAAGUGCAUUUGAAACUGUCAGGCUCGAGUAGGGGAGAGGGAAGUGGAAUUCCUGGUGUAGAGGUGAAAUUCGUAGAUAUCAGGAGGAACACCGGUGGCGAAGGCGACUUCCUAGCCCUAUACUGACGCUGAGACGCGAGAGCGUGGGUAGCAAACA